Molecule: ribosomal RNA, 520 nt
Filed under: uncultured bacterium
Lineage: Bacteria
Description: bacterial SSU rRNA
Rfam family: Bacterial small subunit ribosomal RNA
Source: RNAcentral
AGAGUUUGAUCCUGGCUCAGAAUGAACGCUGGCGGCGUGCUUAACACAUGCAAGUCGCACGAGAACGCUUCAGCUUGCUGAAGCUAGUAAAGUGGCGCACGGGUGAGUAACGCGUGGGUAAUCUACCUCCAAAUUGGGGAUAACAUUGCGAAAGCGAUGCUAAUACCGAAUAAUAUCUCAAGAACUUCGGCUUUUGAGAUCAAAGGUGGCCUCUCCAUGGAAGCUACUGUUAGGAGAUGAGCCCGCGUACCAUUAGCUUGUUGGUAGGGUAAUGGCCUACCAAGGCAACGAUGGUUAGCUGGUCUGAGAGGAUGAUCAGCCACACUGGAACUGACACACGGUCCAGACUCCUACGGGAGGCAGCAGUGAGGAAUUUUGCGCAAUGGGGGAAACCCUGACGCAGCAACGCCGCGUGAGUGAUGAAGGCUUUCGGGUCGUAAAGCUCUGUCAAGUGGGAAGAACCUGCCUAGUGCUAAUAUCACCGGGCACUGACGGUACCACUGAAGAAGCACCGCUAACU